UACGUAGGGGGCAAGCGUUAUCCGGAUUCACUGGGUGUAAAGGGAGCGUAGACGGCGACGCAAGUCUGGAGUGAAAGCCCGGGGCCCAACCCCGGGACUGCUCUGGAAACUGUUAAGCUGGAGUACUGGAGAGGCAAGCGGAAUUCCUAGUGUAGCGGUGAAAUGCGUAGAUAUUAGGAGGAACACCAGUGGCGAAGGCGGCUUGCUGGACAGAGACUGACGUUGAGGCUCGAAAGCGUGGGGAGCAAACAGG
This 253-nucleotide ribosomal RNA is filed under the name uncultured bacterium. RNAcentral describes it as "partial 16S ribosomal RNA". It matches the Rfam family "Bacterial small subunit ribosomal RNA", at positions 524 to 776 of the family's 1533-position model. The record is from RNAcentral.